Molecule: non-coding RNA, 45 nt
Filed under: Schistosoma mansoni
Lineage: Eukaryota; Metazoa; Platyhelminthes; Trematoda; Strigeidida; Schistosomatidae
Source: RNAcentral
AUAAAGCUGACGAGUCCCAAAUAGGACGAAACGCGCGUCCUGGAU